This is an RNA transcript of Populus euphratica (Euphrates poplar), 2425 nucleotides long. RefSeq lists it as uncharacterized. The transcript has 8 exons. NCBI's taxonomy places the organism in Eukaryota, Viridiplantae, Streptophyta, Magnoliopsida, Malpighiales, Salicaceae. The record is from RefSeq and is a predicted model, not a curated record.
AAUUCUCUUUUUUCAUGACCAUUUGUGACAUGCGUGUUGUUUCUUAGUUGGGAAGGAUUCCGCCGAGUCUGCACGAGGGCUGACAUUGAAUGCUAGCAUGUGGGCAAGCCUUGGUUCGCAGUUGAACUUCUAUCUGAUGUAUUGCAAAACUGUGCUAUAUAUGCUGCGGUGAUGGUGCAUCAACUGAGGAAAAUGCGGCAAAGUAAUUAAAAAUAGCUUGUAUAACAUCCCAUCCUGGAAUAGUUACUACGAUCGCAGCUUGUGUUUUUGUUUUCUGGUGGCAAGGACUAAUUUAUUCAAAUCCACAUGCACAGGCAAUCUUGAUCAAUGGCUGUGCAAGCUUUUAGCUGAACCCUUGUAUAUCCUCUCCCAAAAUUUUCUCUUGCUUAAAAUGUGGUUGAUUGUUGAAACAGCAGCUACCUUUUUGCAUUGUCUGACAAUGUACAUCAUUCUUUCCAAGCAAAGGUAAUUUGAUAUGCAGAUUUGGGGAGAAUGUAUUCCUCUAUGUGGUGGAUAUUGUGCGCUAAUUAGUAAGCUUCACUGUCUCUUUCCACCUUUUUUUAACAGAACUUGACUGUUUCUCCUCAUCUUCAAGAUCUUGGAAUUUUUGUCACUUCUGUUCUUGUGGAAGUCUUGGGCUACUUUUUAUGCAAGGCACAAAAUGUUACUUCAACUUAUGUUCACUUUUUUCUUUUUUUGGCAUAUGAAAUGCAUUCCUUGAAAAUCAGCUGCAAAUGGCAACUUGCAGACUAUUUGAUUAAAAACAAGGAACUAUAAUGGAUCGUGAUAAGCAGCUGCUAGCAUGUGUUUUCUGUUCACUCAUCUAUCCUCUCACAAGCUAAUUCUUCAAAAAGAGGAAAAGAUUGUUCUUGUAUGGUUGGAUACCCCAUACAACCAGGCUGUAUAUGGACUUGUUCACAAGUUAGGGAGCUUAGUUGUGAGAUUGGUGUUUCUUCCAUUCAAGGAAAGUUCACAUGCUACAUUUUCCAGGUUUAUUUCUCUCCUCAUUUGUUCUCUUAACAUUGUUCUGAUUUCAACAGAUUUGAUUAUGUUGUUUAGAUGGUUCUGGUCUCUUCAUGUGUUGUUUUGCAUUUUCUUGCUUUGUGGUUUCAUCAUUUUCGACAAAUUUGCUUAUGUUGUCUUGAUGGUGCUGGUCUCUUCAUGUUUUAUUUUGCAUUUUAUUGCUUUGUGGUUUCAUCAUUUUUGUUAUGUAUUUGAAUCUAGCCUAUGCUUUUAGCUAGAACUGUAUCGUUUUUAGUUAAGAAACAUAGUUACAAACUUUGUUGAGGGCAGCAAGACAGGACAUGCAAAAAGAAAUUUUCCCAUCUUCUGUAUUAUUGUGCCAUUACACUUGCCUGCUAAUGCCACUACUACUACUAGCUUAUCUUGUGUGACGAGGCAUUUUCCCUGGAAUAGUGUGUGUGAUUAACUCCUUUGCUUGCCAGAAUGGUUAAGAAUCCCCUUUCUUUUCUUUUGAGCUGAAAGAUUUACAUUUGGAAAGCAUGCAGUAAAUGCAUUUCAACAUCAAUUUGAAGUCACAAUAUUUCUGUUUACCUUCAUAAGUAGCUGAAUGCUUCUCCUCUCAUGACAGGGCAAGAUCCAACAAAAGUGGGAAAUUGAUGACAUAUUCUUUAUUAAAUUGAAAUUCUCUGGUCACUGGUUUCUUGACUAUUCUGAGGAUAUGAUUUCGAGGGUUAUAUUCUCUGCAUUAUUCAUCAAACACUAUUUCCAGGUAUGGAUUUGAUGCUGUAAGUCUUCCAUAUUUGUGGGUAUUUACAUCAGCCUUGUACUGGAUUUGUGUUUUUCUCUGUGCGGGAUUCUUCUGCAUUUUCUUUUACCAGCUGCUUACCUUCAGGUUGGACAGUUCUUUUGUUUUCUGGUGUAAUUACUCUCAUAUCCGAGAAAUUAUUUCUGGACCACAAAAAUUUCUGGCCAGCAUUUAAAAUCCACUUCUCUAUCGGCUUAAGUUGCUUCUGCAUAGCAUCUUUCAUCAUUUACCGCUGUGAGAGGCCUUUUAUCAACCAAUUAUCCCUAACAAACAAGGGCCUUUGAAUGCAGCACAAAAAACACAAGGGCAAGGGAAUUAAGUUAAAUCUUGAUUUGAAUUGCUCUGUUGAAGUCCAUUUCAUGUUACAAUGGGAUUAUUAGUAGCAAGGCGUUAUAGCUGCAUUUGUUGAAUCUAAGCCAGAGCCAAACGAGUGAAAAGGUUCCUUCUCUUGCCAGAAUUACUCGAUACCCAACAAAGAACUACGGAUCACUUGCCCCUCAAUGUGGCCUAGAACUUCACGCUUCAAUAACAGCGUUGCUAGUAAUGUCGUUUAUUUUCAAAACAAUAAUACACUGCAUUGUUUUAGCUUACGAACUACAUUGCAAUUUUAUUUUGCAAUUUUUGUGCGCUAAGAAAGCUUUUCCUUUGUGUCAAAAA